GUGGAUUAGAUACCCUGGUAGUCCACGCCCUAAACUAUGUCAACUGGUUGUCGGGGAAGCAAUUCCUUGGUAACGAAGCUAACGCGUGAAGUUGACCGCCUGGGGAGUACGGCCGCAAGGUUAAAACUCAAAGGAAUUGACGGGGACCCGCACAAGCGGUGGAUUAUGUGGAUUAAUUCGAUGCAACGCGAAAAACCUUACCUACCCUUGACAUGCCAGGAACCUCGCAGAGAUGUGAGGGUGCCCGAAAGGGAACCUGGACACAGGUGCUGCACGGUUGUCGUCAACU
RNAcentral lists this ribosomal RNA (289 nucleotides) under uncultured bacterium. RNAcentral's name for it is "partial 16S ribosomal RNA". It matches the Rfam family "Bacterial small subunit ribosomal RNA", at positions 773 to 1060 of the family's 1533-position model. The record is from RNAcentral.